Molecule: long non-coding RNA, 2478 nt
Filed under: Zea mays
Lineage: Eukaryota; Viridiplantae; Streptophyta; Magnoliopsida; Poales; Poaceae
Description: long non-coding RNA (ZMAY_LNC004832)
Source: RNAcentral
ACAAAAACCUAUGUAAACUCCCUUCCAAGAGGAACAUCUCCAACCUUAGUGGUUGGGUCGGUUGAGAUAAUAUUUGCUAUUGCAACAGGAACUUCUGUCAUGUCCAUGUGCAAUUGUCCACUUCCAUCUCUAAUUCCUAAUGCACUUCAUAUGCUCUCUUUCCACAGGAAUCCUUGGACAACCUUAAUCUCUUCUCUAUCAUUAUAGUGAUGUCAUUUUUCCUUUUGGCCCCUGUUACCUUCUUUACAGAAGGUGUCAAAAUUACUCCUACAUUUUUGCAAUCUGCUGUAAGUGUAACAAUGUUCAAAUUUAAAUCCAUUACUUACGAAAGUAAGAAAUCAAGACAGGAAACUACACCUUGCAGAACUUCAGGGUUAAUUUUGAUUGUGGUUGAGCAUGGAACACAACCUGGGGGCUCCUAGCACCUAGAACCUCUAAAUGCUAGUGCAGUUCAUGAUGUUUCAGGAGUUGCUGCAGUUAAUCAAUCAGGGCCACUUGUUGGGGCAUGUUCAGAGACUAAGAAGGUAAUGCAAUAAGAAACCAUGGAUCCCAAAUCAAAGCAGUCAGAUACACUAGAGGUUGAGAUAGUAGAUCCAAACAAGCUAGAGUUUGAUCAAUAUGUUGCUUCUCAAGGAGGGCACUUAAACACGGAUGAUCUGAAUAAAGGCAAGUGUUAUCUAUUUGAUUUUUUAUGUUUCAGUUUUAUGUAGAGCUCAGAGUCAUGCGGAUUGCAAAUUCAUUUUUUAUUCCUCUUAUGUGGCUUGCAACAGCUGUAAAUUCAUUUGAUUUAUUCUUUAUUUUCCCAUUUUGCUACAAAAUUCUCAGUCCAAAACCACAAGAAUUUGCUGCACCAAGACUCUAAACUGAUCACUAAAACUAAAAUUCAGUCUCUGCCAGAUACUAUUUCGAGUCUGAAAAUUCAGACUACACUAAAUGCGCUGAACUUCUUCAGUUCGACUGCAGAGCCAGAUUCAUCCUUCUUUUGCUCCCAUUUUUUUAUAGGGUCAGAGCUACCUCCCUACAUUAAACUUGCACACUAAUAUAUGUUCUUUAACUCUUCUUAUAAAGAUAUGGCUUAAUACUCCAAGGAUCAAGCACUAGAGAGCUCCAAAGUUGAGCCAAACACACAAUGUCUGUGUGCUGAAACAAGACUAAGUCUGAAUUCAGAUUUAGCACAUUGAAUCUUUGAACUACUGUUACUGUCAGUUCCAACUGGUUUUAGUGGCAUUACCCUUAAUCCAACUUGCACACCAAAGUAUGGGCUUCCACUUUGGUACAGCACUCAUAGCCCAGAACUACAUUGAUCAGCCCUUAAGGAGUAUCCCAAAUCUGCUUCAGACUGAAAAAUCAGCAGGACUGAAUUUUUAUCUUAAGUCUGAUUUUCCAAACUGAACACUGCAUCUUUAGGCUCCUUUUUAUACCAAUUCCAUAUAGAUUUAGAGCUUCAACACUUAAUAAAAGUUGUUCUCCUAUAGUUACUCUACAAGUUUACUAUAGUUACUCUACAAGUUUCCGAUCCAAGCAUUUUGUUUUCAUUGUAUUCAUUUGAGUAAACCUACCAAAUCUCUUGUUAAGGGAUGUUUUUUGGUAAUGCAAUUGGUUACAUUUCUUUUGAGGUAAAAGGUUUUAUUUGCCACAUAAACAUGCUGAAUUUAAAGGAAAUUGUUUCUCUGUUACUAGGCAUCAAGUCUGUGUUAGAAUAUUUGGUAAUGCUAUCGGGUUCUGCAUCUUUGAGAGUUAGUGACAGUUUUGAAUUCAUGGAAUUUCCCCAGAAUCCUUCAUAUGUAAAAUUCUAGGUAGACCAAACUGGGGUUAUAAAAUUUGAUUUCAGCCUCAAAGCAAGUGUCAUUGCACAAAUUUAUUUUAAAUUCAUGGGCAUGAGAGAAGGAACAUGAUUUUAUACAGGGAUGCUCCUUCAUUACGGAAGACCAUGCAGAACCUGUUAAUCCCAUUGCCACAUCAAUUGAUAUUACUACUUCUAUGGAUAUACGUCUAAUGAUGAAUAAGAUCAAGGUGAUACGCCUAGGGACAUGGGCAGCAAUAGGCCAAUAGCCAUACUACAACAUGAAGCAAAUAAUCACUAGAAGGUUUAAGGCUUUCAGCAUCUAAGUAAAACUGAAAACCAACAAACAUGGACAUGGGCAGUAACAGGCCAACAGCCAUACGCACAUACCUACAAGCUAUAGUACAACAGAGCACACCAGAGAAAACAGGGACAAGCUCUGAAUCUGGAUUAUGGAGACCGAAGACUGGAGACCAUACCUGCACGCCGGCUGCUGGCGCCGCCGCGCCGGAGAUGGAGGAGGGGCCGAGCGGGACGAUGUCGCCGCACCGGAGAUGGAGGAGGCGCCAGAGAUGGAGGAGGGUAGCGCGCCGCCGUCUCCUAUUCCGCUAGCUAGGGCUCCGAUUCUCCCUCGGCAGUUGGUUGCCUGCUGGUUCGUAUCGCGCGUGUGCCUCUGGGCGUUGCGCUGUUUGCUG